This 177-nucleotide small nucleolar RNA is filed under the name Aspergillus brasiliensis CBS 101740. Lineage: Eukaryota; Fungi; Ascomycota; Eurotiomycetes; Eurotiales; Aspergillaceae. The record is from RNAcentral.
ACGUCUCUUGCCUCGCUCGAUCUCUCGCUUCUCCUCGGUUGAUCUUGAGCUGGAUGCAGCCUGUACUGGAUACAGCCCUGUACGAGACAAGAAUGAGGCUUACGCCUUCGACGAUCUUUGAGUACGAUCUUAUCCGCAUGCCACGGGUAUCAUCGUAAUUUAUCCGUCGGGACAUCG